AAAUAAACAAAAUUUGAUGUUCUUAAUUAUUUUUCUUAAUAAUUAACUCUCGAGAACAAAAGAGCCAGACACUGUAUAGGUACUGUAUUAUAUACCUGAAAUUAUUGAAGGACACAAAUCAUAAAAAAUAAUAUAAAAUGCUGUGUUUUUCCACACAAUCCUGUACGAUGUUCGAAGUGGGCAGCGAUUAUCGGAACAGCUAGAGGUGAAGAAUUUUACAAGCCACGCAAAGGGUCCGUUGUAUGUUCCGAUCACUUUCCUCAGUCGGACAUAUACACAACAAUUAAAGGUUACAGAAGACUUGUUAGAAGUGCAAAACCAACUUUGCUUCUGAAAGACAAUAAUAGAAGUAAUGUCAAUAACAUAAAACAGGAACCAAUCCAAACAGAUGAAGGAAUCAUAUCUGGUCAUCAUAUGUCACAUGCUGAUCAAGAAUCUGUUUUGUGUGGUGAAUCAAGUUACCAGCGCCUACACCAGGACAAAAAUUUAGAAAAAUUGCAACAGUCUCCUUCAUCUUCCUUGAGUAAUGGAUCUAUUUUAGACACUCCCAGAGAAGUUUUUAUGAAGAAAAAAAUCAAUUUGCUAGAAAAAAGGAUCAUA
Molecule: unclassified non-coding RNA, 600 nt
Filed under: Zerene cesonia (dogface butterfly)
Lineage: Eukaryota; Metazoa; Arthropoda; Insecta; Lepidoptera; Pieridae
Description: uncharacterized LOC119833386, transcript variant X4
Source: RNAcentral